UGGGGAAUAUUGCGCAAUGGGCGAAAGCCUGACGCAGCGACGCCGCGUGAGGGAAGAAGGCCUUCGGGUCGUAAACCUCUGUCUAGAGGGAAGAAACCAUUGAGGUCGAACAGGCCUCUUUGCUGACGGUACCUCUGAAGGAAGCACCGGCUAACUCCGUGCCAGCAGCCGCGGUAAUACGGAGGGUGCGAGCGUUAAUCGGAAUCACUGGGCGUAAAGCGCACGUAGGCGGUGUCGUAAGUCGGAUGUGAAAGCCCACGGCUUAACUGUGGAAGUGCAUUUGAAACUGUCAGACUUGAGUAUCAGAGGGGAAAGUGGAAUUCCCGGUGUAGAGGUGAAAUUCGUAGAUAUCGGGAGGAAUACCGGUGGCGAAGGCGACUUUCUGGCUGAAUACUGACGCUGAGGCGCGAAAGCGUGGGGAGCAAACA
This 428-nucleotide ribosomal RNA is filed under the name uncultured prokaryote. RNAcentral's name for it is "bacterial SSU rRNA". It matches the Rfam family "Bacterial small subunit ribosomal RNA", at positions 355 to 774 of the family's 1533-position model. The record is from RNAcentral.